RNAcentral lists this ribosomal RNA (468 nucleotides) under uncultured bacterium. Its description in RNAcentral is "partial 16S ribosomal RNA". It matches the Rfam family "Bacterial small subunit ribosomal RNA", at positions 28 to 507 of the family's 1533-position model. The record is from RNAcentral.
GACGAACGCUGGCGGCGUGCUUAACACAUGCAAGUCGAACGGAAAGGCCCUGCUUUUGUUGGGUGCUCGAUUGGCGAACGGGUGAGUAACACGUGAGUAACCUGCCCUUGACUUUGGGAUAACUUCAGGAAACUGGGGCGAAUACCGGAUAGGAGCUCCUGCUGCAUGGUGGGGGUUGGAAAGUUUCGGCGGUUGGGGCUGGACUCGCGGCUUAUCAGCUUGUUGGGGGGGUAGUUGCUUACCAAGGGUUUGACGGGUAGCCUGCCUGAGAGGGUAACCGGGGACAAUAGGACUGAGAGAGGGACCAGUAUGCUACCGGCGGCAACAGGGGAGAACAUUGCGCAACGGGGGGGAGCCUGAGGUGAAAAUCCCCGGAGCGGGAAGCCCGGCUUCGGGGGGUAAACCGAUUUCGAAUGAAACGAAGCGGGCGUGACGGUAAUGGGUAAAGAAGCACCGGCUAACUACGUG